This is a long non-coding RNA of Austrofundulus limnaeus, 702 nucleotides long. RefSeq lists it as uncharacterized. The record is from RefSeq and is a predicted model, not a curated record. The transcript is spliced from 2 exons. NCBI's taxonomy places the organism in Eukaryota, Metazoa, Chordata, Actinopteri, Cyprinodontiformes, Rivulidae.
AAAGAUCAGCUGCRUUUUUCUGAGUUCAGCUCUGAAGUCCAACCCCUCCCAUCUGAGACAUCUGUACCUGAAUCUCAACAACCUGCUYGAUCCCGAUGUUGAGCAGCUGUUGGAUCUUCAGAAGAGUCCAGAUUACAGUCUGGAGACUCUGAGCUGGAGGUCUCAACCUUUCUUAAGAAGGCUCUGAGCUUUUAUUGUGUUUUUCUGGAAGAAGAGGAGCUGUAUCAUGAUGAUCCACAGAUAUUGAAGCAGGAGUAGCUUGUAUGCAGAGAGACUCUGGACUGAGAGCUUCAUCCAGCAGUGAUUGACAGAGGAAUCAAAAGAAGUGGAGAUGAACUGAUCUGAGAACAGCGCUAUUUUUGUAGAAAAAUAUUUUGCACAUCUGUCUAUCCCAGCAUAAUCCUGAGGCCAAGAGUCAGUGGCCUCUGCUGAGUCUGACCUAAAUGUCAUCAGGUUUUAUGGCCCCGUUGUUUUUCUUAUGUUUUCUCUCAGAUGAAGUGUUUUAUGUUCAGGACAAGCUCUUCUAGAAGUAAUCACUUUUGCACUCUAGAAUAGUUUACCAGUUGUUAUAUUCUCCUUGUCCCAAACCAGGCACCAAACAUUGUCAUCUCAGUUAACAUAUGGAUGUCCGACUACAAAGAAAGGUCUCAAAAAUGGCCUUGAUGCACAAAUUUUCAAAUAAAGAGCUGCACAGUCCUGUUA